AAAUAAUUUAGGACAGGUUAUGAGUCAAAACUCGAUAUUUAGAUUAGGACAGGUACAGGUGGGCCAAAAGCCUAAUUAGACUAGGACAGGGUUGAUGGAUUUGGGAUUACGAGCCUAAGUCUUCUACUUCUCCCCUCCCCCCUUUACGUGCUUAUUUACUAUUUAUUUUCUUAGACUUGGUUAAAUUCCCUACUAAGUCAUCA
This 203-nucleotide long non-coding RNA is filed under the name Capsicum annuum. RNAcentral describes it as "long non-coding RNA (CANN_LNC019718)". Lineage: Eukaryota; Viridiplantae; Streptophyta; Magnoliopsida; Solanales; Solanaceae. The record is from RNAcentral.